RNAcentral lists this ribosomal RNA (517 nucleotides) under uncultured bacterium. RNAcentral's name for it is "bacterial SSU rRNA". It matches the Rfam family "Bacterial small subunit ribosomal RNA", at positions 13 to 518 of the family's 1533-position model. The record is from RNAcentral.
CGGAUUCUGGCUCAGGAUGAACGCUAGCUACAGGCUUAACACAUGCAAGUCGAGGGGCAGCAUGAGAUUAGCUUGCUAAUCUUGAUGGCGACCGGCGCACGGGUGCGUAACACGUAUCCAAUCUACCCAUGGCUCGGGGAUAGCCUUUCGAAAGAAAGAUUAAUACCCGAUGGUCUGCGAUUGAGACAUCUCGAUUGCAGUAAAGACUUGUCGGCGAUGGAUGGGGAUGCGUCCGAUUAGCUAGUUGGCGGGGUAACGGCCCACCAAGGCAACGAUCGGUAGGGGUUCUGAGAGGAAGGUCCCCCACACUGGAACUGAGACACGGUCCAGACUCCUACGGGAGGCAGCAGUGAGGAAUAUUGGUCAAUGGGCGAUGGUCUGAACCAGCCAAGUAGCCGUGAGGGACGACGGCCCUACGGGUUGUAAACCUCUUUUGUAUGGGAAUAAAGUGAGGCACGUGUGCCUUUUUGUAUGUACCUUACGAAUAAGCAUCGGCUAAUUCCGUGCCAGCAGCGGC